Molecule: ribosomal RNA, 508 nt
Filed under: uncultured bacterium
Lineage: Bacteria
Description: bacterial SSU rRNA
Rfam family: Bacterial small subunit ribosomal RNA
Source: RNAcentral
AGUGAACGCUGGCGGCAGGCCUAAUACAUGCAAGUCGAACGGCAGCACGGCAGAGCUUGCUCUGUGGGUGGCGAGUGGCGGACGGGUGAGGAAUACAUGGGAAUCUGCCCAGUCGUGGGGGAUAACGUAGGGAAACUUACGCUAAUACCGCAUGCGCCCUUCGGGGGAAAGCCGGGGACCUUCGGGCCUGGCGCGAUUGGAUGAGCCCAUGUCGGAUUAGCUAGUUGGCGGGGUAAUGGCCCACCAAGGCGACGAUCCGUAGCUGGUCUGAGAGGAUGAUCAGCCACACUGGAACUGAGACACGGUCCAGACUCCUACGGGAGCAGCAGUAGGGAAUAUUGGAACAAUGGGCCAAGCCUGAUCCAGCCAUGCCGCGUGAGUGAAGAAGGCCCUCGGGUUGUAAAAGCUCUUUUGUCCGGAAAAGAAAAGCGACCGGGUUAAUACCCUGGUGUCCUGACGGUACGGAAGAAUAAGCAACCGGCUAACGUACGUGCCAGCCGCGAACCGG